RNAcentral lists this non-coding RNA (21 nucleotides) under Caenorhabditis elegans. Lineage: Eukaryota; Metazoa; Nematoda; Chromadorea; Rhabditida; Rhabditidae. The record is from RNAcentral.
UGUGUGUAUGUUGAAGCAACA